GACGUAGGGGGCUAGCGUUGUCCGGAAUUACUGGGCGUAAAGAGCUCGUAGGCGGUCUGUUUAGUCGGGUGUGAAAGCCCUCGGCUCAACCGAGGAAUUGCAUUCGAUACUGGCAGGCUAGAGUCUAGCAGAGGGAAGUGGAAUUCCCGGUGUAGCGGUGAAAUGCGCAGAUAUCGGGAAGAACACCGGUGGCGAAGGCGGCUUCCUGGGCUAAGACUGACGCUGAGGAGCGAAAGCUAGGGUAGCAAACAGGAUUAGAUACCCGCGUA
This 269-nucleotide ribosomal RNA is filed under the name uncultured prokaryote. RNAcentral's name for it is "partial 16S ribosomal RNA". It matches the Rfam family "Bacterial small subunit ribosomal RNA", at positions 524 to 792 of the family's 1533-position model. The record is from RNAcentral.